This 450-nucleotide ribosomal RNA is filed under the name uncultured Rhodomicrobium sp. RNAcentral's name for it is "bacterial SSU rRNA". It matches the Rfam family "Bacterial small subunit ribosomal RNA", at positions 8 to 491 of the family's 1533-position model. Lineage: Bacteria; Pseudomonadati; Pseudomonadota; Alphaproteobacteria; Hyphomicrobiales; Hyphomicrobiaceae. The record is from RNAcentral.
AGAGUUUGAUCCUGGCUCAGAACGAACGCUGGCGGCAGGCUUAACACAUGCAAGUCGAACGCGCCCUUCGGGGCGAGUGGCAGACGGGUGAGUAACGCGUGGGAACCUACCUUUUGGUACGGAAUAACUCAGGGAAACUUGAGCUAAUACCGUAUGUGCCCUGUCCUUUAACGGGAUUUGGGGAAAGAUUUAUCGCCAAAGGAUGGGCCCGCGUCGGAUUAGCUAGUUGGUGGGGUAAUGGCCUACCAAGGCGACGAUCCGUAGCUGGUCUGAGAGGAUGAUCAGCCACACUGGGACUGAGACACGGCCCAGACUCCUACGGGAGGCAGCAGUGGGGAAUAUUGGACAAUGGGGGCAACCCUGAUCCAGCCAUGCCGCGUGAGUGAAGAAGGCCUUAGGGUUGUAAAGCUCUUUCGCCGGUGAAGAUAAUGACGGUAACCGAGAAGAAGC